This is a long non-coding RNA of Lathyrus oleraceus (garden pea), 1415 nucleotides long. RefSeq lists it as uncharacterized. Lineage: Eukaryota; Viridiplantae; Streptophyta; Magnoliopsida; Fabales; Fabaceae. The record is from RefSeq and is a predicted model, not a curated record. The transcript is spliced from 2 exons.
GAAGCCCACCGUUGGAAAACAGGUUUCUCCCAAUGAGGGAGGCUGACCUAAAGCUCUUUUGCCUAAAACCAGCGGAAAAGCGCUUAAGCGCUUCAUUUGUUAAAAAUAAUUCUCUCUCUUCAAGAAUAACCAGAGUUGCUGUGCAACUCCUUUCAUCUUCUCCGUUCAACCUUCAUCGGAGAAGCGGCGGCGCGCGGCGGCGCGCGGCGGCCGCCACCGUCUUCUCCGGUGACCACCGCCCUCAACCCUAACAACAACAAAAAAACCUCACCUUUAUUUUUGCCUCUGAGUUCAAAUAUGAACUCGCUUUUUCCGAUUUGUUCCUCAAAUGGCCGGAUCGAGGCCCUCCCUCGAAAUACCAAAACUAACCCUAAACUCUCCUUCUCAUAUGGCCAAACGUAGCUUGAUUCGUUCUUAACCUUAACCAAAAACUUAAACACCCAAAACCUAACCCUAGAUUCAAGAUCUGAAGUUCUACAACAAAGUUUUGAAGAAAUUAAAAGAAAGAUCUCAUCCAGUAUGAAGAGGCGUAAAUGAUGAUGAUGCAAAGACUUUAACGAAGGAGGAAAAAAUUACUUGUUUGAAAUCCAACUCCGGCGAAGCUCCCCACGGUUUAAGAUAAGUUCUCCAUCUUCUUCUAUUUUUUGCUUUCUUUUAUUUUUGCUUUGAGUGUUGUUGUUGAUUGGCUUGAUGUCUUAGGGUUUAGAGCUUUUUAUGGAUUAUUGUUUGAUUGUUCUCUGGAAAAAAAAGUUUCUUCUAUUUGGUUUAGGUUUAACAAAGAAAAAAUCUUUGAUUGAGUUGAGAAAUAUUUGGUUAUCCUGUUGAAUCUGUCGAAAAACCUAUGCCUUGUUCUUUUGUUUGUGGUUUUAACAGAGAGAAAUAUUUUUAGCAAUUUCUCUGAGUUUUUUAGAACGUGUCUUGUUAAUUAAUUUUUUCUUGUUUAUAUAUGCUCAUUGUUGGUUAUAAGAUAACUUGCCAAGCUAUCCUUUCUCCAGAUUUUGUGGGAUGAUUAAUCUUAUGGAUUUAAGGUUGUAGGUUUGGAUAUUGGAAUGUGAUCUUUGAACGUUCUUCUUGGUUUGUUGUGUAAAGAGCUAAUCUGUUUGUCCCAUCCUUUAUUUUCUAGUUUUUAAAGUGCUUAUUUGGAUAAGCUGUUUUUUUUAAAUUGUGAAUUGGUUUUGCAGGUUUGCAAAAGGUGAGUGGACAUUGAGUGAAGGGAGGGCGGCGCCAGCUUUGGAGGCUAAAAUUGGGGUGUGAAUUUCAACCAUUAGCUUUGAAGAAGUCCUUGAAGAUUUGCUACUUUAGACUGCUGUUUUUACGGCUUAUUCCAAUUUUCAACUUAUUUUAAAUGUACUCCAAAUUCUGUAAUAAUAUUGGGAUUUAAUAUUAGAAAUUUGAAGUUAAACAGCUUAUUCCAA